This 353-nucleotide long non-coding RNA is filed under the name Equus caballus (horse). Its description in RNAcentral is "lncRNA (ENSECAG00000050156.1)". The record is from RNAcentral. Lineage: Eukaryota; Metazoa; Chordata; Mammalia; Perissodactyla; Equidae.
ACACUUGUGACACCCUCUACGCUCUGCUGUGCUGGCACCAGGAUGGAGUGGCAGAUAUGACAGACAAGGUCUUUGGCUUCACAGAGUUUUAAGUCCCGAGGAGGGGUGAUGGAGACGUGUGAGAUGGAGAAGAGGGAAGAGCUUCAGGAGGCGGACAGUGGGGAGAAAUGCCUGGACUUGAUUAUAAGGAGACAUGAGCAGGGAGAGAGAGGGGUCUCAGGGUCUACCUGCUACAAUCCAGGGGAACCCAUCUGCAGGCAGGAAUUUGGACUUUAUUUUAAUUGAACUUCCAAAGGACCCAGAAAGCUGUUGGCCUUUCUUUAUAUCAUCUGGCAUAAACAUGAAAAAAAAAU